This 239-nucleotide unclassified non-coding RNA is filed under the name uncultured fungus. RNAcentral's name for it is "partial contains 5.8S ribosomal RNA, internal transcribed spacer 2, and large subunit ribosomal RNA". The record is from RNAcentral. Lineage: Eukaryota; Fungi.
AACGCACAUUGCGCCCCUUGGUAUUCCGGGGGGCAUGCCUGUUCGAGCGUCAUUAUAACCCCUCAAGCUCAGCUUGGUGUUGGGGCCUGCCUCUGGGCAGCCCUUAAAAUCAGUGGCGGUGCCAUCUGGCUCUAAGCGUAGUAACUUCUCUCGCUAUAGGGUCCCGGUGGAUGCUGGCCAACAACCCCAAUUUUUCUAUGGUUGACCUCGGAUCAGGUAGGGAUACCCGCUGAACUUAA